This is a long non-coding RNA of Hippocampus comes (tiger tail seahorse), 1258 nucleotides long. RefSeq lists it as uncharacterized. NCBI's taxonomy places the organism in Eukaryota, Metazoa, Chordata, Actinopteri, Syngnathiformes, Syngnathidae. The transcript has 2 exons. The record is from RefSeq and is a predicted model, not a curated record.
ACACACACACACACACACACACACACGUAUGCAUGUAUAAAGUGACAGUAAGAAUCAGAGGACAAAAGGAAGUGUUUGGAUGGCGAGUAAAGCUGUAGUGAAUGUAGCAUGGAUGCUAAGGAAGUUCCGAUGGACAAAGAUGGUUUGGCAGAGGGGAAGAAGAGUGGAAUGUUUACAAUGACUUUGCUUGUUAAGUGUUUACGCGGCUAAUGGGCGGAUCAGAAUGAAGGCACUUGUAAAUAGAGCCACGCACAUCCAGAGCGAGAUGACCCCCACCCCCACCCCCCGCCAGGUGGACUCCAUGGGAGGAAUCAAAGUGUCGCUCCGGGCUUUGCCGUUAUCUUGCACGGUUUCCACAGUAACCACAUCCACCCCAAGACAUGGAGGGAGGGGAUUUCUUCAGCAUGUGUAGCCAGCCACCUUACCUGUGGAUUCUAGAACAGUGUUUCUCAAAGCGUGAGCAGUCAACCACUAGUGGUCCUUAAGAAGAAUCUCACGUGGUCCAUAGGUAACUUUAAUCUCGCUCUGUUAUAGCUAAUUAGGUUUCUCAUCUCCACCAUGACUGCCAUGGCAAUUGAAAAAUGUCCACUGUGGCUUGAAGCAGAGCUGCCAGGAACGUGUAAACAUAGUGAAGCGCUAAUCCUGCCUUGAUCCGUCCGUAACAUACCUCAACCCUAACACUAAACCCUCAACCCUAGGGUUAUAACAUCACUUUACCUGAACCUUCACUCCUAAUUCUAAUCCUUUUAUUUAAACCCUACCUGGCCCCGGGCCCUAAAGAUAUCCGAACCCUAAACCAAACACUAACACUGAAGUCCUAAACCUAAUCCUAAUCCUGCACAAGAGAACAUCAACUCACCCCAACACUAGCACUAACACUCAUUUGACCCUAACCAUACUUUUAACCCUAAACGCCGAACCCUCACCCCUUACCCUAGACUUUUUAAGAUACUGAAAAAUAUAGACCACAAGCAGGUGCCAACUACAUAAACGUACAGCCAUUCAUAGUGUCCAGGUGUGCUGUUUUCCACACCGCAAACAAUCUUAUCCAUGUGCAGAGUUGAUGAUAUGAGCCCAGUUUAGAAGCAACACAAGUGCAGCACCGUCCAUCUUCUGGACAAUUUGUUUACUGUAAUAAUCUGCUCGGUGACGAUGUUGUGCAACAGUCGUGUCAUGGGAAAUGACAAGUGCGAUCUGUCAUCGUGAAAUGAGAACCACUCGAUUUGUUUUGCUUGAAUGAAGCAAACUUUGUAACGUU